This 253-nucleotide ribosomal RNA is filed under the name uncultured bacterium. RNAcentral's name for it is "partial 16S ribosomal RNA". It matches the Rfam family "Bacterial small subunit ribosomal RNA", at positions 524 to 776 of the family's 1533-position model. The record is from RNAcentral.
UACAGAGGUCUCGAGCGUUGUUCGGAUUCAUUGGGCGUAAAGGGUGCGUAGGUGGCUUGGUCAGUCGGAUGUGAAAUCCCGGGGCUCAACCCCGGAACUGCAUUCGAUACUGCCAGGCUGGAGUACUGGAGAGGAGAUUGGAAUUUACGGUGUAGCAGUGAAAUGCGUAGAUAUCGUAAGGAAGACCAGUGGCGAAGGCGGAUCUCUGGACAGUUACUGACACUGAGGCACGAAGGCCAGGGGAGCAAACGGG